GGUGAACGCUAGCGGCAGGCCUAACACAUGCAAGUCGAGGGAGAAGCCCUUUCGGGGGCAGAAACCGGCGCACGGGUGCGUAACGCGUAUGCAACCUACCUUUCACAGGGGGAUAGCCCGAAGAAAUUUGGAUUAAUACCCCAUAAUAUUAUUGGAUGGCAUCAUUUGAUAAUUAAAACUGCGGUGGUGAAAGAUGGGCAUGCGUCCUAUUAGCUAGUUGGAGUGGUAACGGCACCCCAAGGCUACGAUAGGUAGGGGUCCUGAGAGGGAGAUCCCCCACACUGGUACUGAGACAGGGACCAGACUCCUACGGGAGGCAGCAGUGAGGAAUAGUGGUCAAUGGUCGGAAGACUGAACCAGCCAUGCCGCGUGCAGGAAGAAUGCCUUAUGGGUUGUAAACUGCUUUUAUAUGGGAAGAAUAAGGCGUACGUGUACGUUGAUGACGGUACCAUAUGAAUAAGCAUCGGCUAACUCCGUG
This 478-nucleotide ribosomal RNA is filed under the name uncultured bacterium. RNAcentral describes it as "partial 16S ribosomal RNA". It matches the Rfam family "Bacterial small subunit ribosomal RNA", at positions 28 to 507 of the family's 1533-position model. The record is from RNAcentral.